This 460-nucleotide ribosomal RNA is filed under the name uncultured bacterium. Its description in RNAcentral is "partial 16S ribosomal RNA". It matches the Rfam family "Bacterial small subunit ribosomal RNA", at positions 338 to 795 of the family's 1533-position model. The record is from RNAcentral.
CCUACGGGUGGCAGCAGUGAGGAAUAUUGGUCAAUGGACGAGAGUCUGAACCAGCCAAGUAGCGUGAAGGAUGACCGCCCUAUGGGUUGUAAACUUCUUUUAUAUGGGAAUAAAAUGUUCCACGUGUGGGAUUUUGUAUGUACCAUAUGAAUAAGGAUCGGCUAACUCCGUGCCAGCAGCCGCGGUAAUACGGAGGAUCCGAGCGUUAUCCGGAUUUAUUGGGUUUAAAGGGAGCGUAGGUGGAUUGUUAAGUCAGUUGUGAAAGUUUGCGGCUCAACCGUAAAAUUGCAGUUGAAACUGGCAGUCUUGAGUACAGUAGAGGUGGGCGGAAUUCGUGGUGUAGCGGUGAAAUGCUUAGAUAUCACGAAGAACUCCGAUUGCGAAGGCAGUUCACUGGACUGCAACUGACACUGAGGCUCGAAAGUGUGGGUAUCAAACAGGAUUAGAUACCCGAGUAGUC